This 427-nucleotide ribosomal RNA is filed under the name uncultured bacterium. RNAcentral's name for it is "bacterial SSU rRNA". It matches the Rfam family "Bacterial small subunit ribosomal RNA", at positions 355 to 774 of the family's 1533-position model. The record is from RNAcentral.
UGGGGAAUUUUGGACAAUGGGCGCAAGCCUGAUCCAGCCAUGCCGCGUGAGUGAAGAAGGCCUUCGGGUUGUAAAGCUCUUUCGGUUGGGAAGAAAUUGCCUGGGUUAAUACCACAGGUAGAUGACGGUACCAGCAUAAGAAGCACCGGCUAACUACGUGCCAGCAGCUGCGGUAAUACGUAGGGUGCAAGCGUUAAUCGGAAUUACUGGGCGUAAAGCGUGCGCAGGCGGUUUUGUAAGUCUGAUGUGAAAUCCCCGGGCUCAACCUGGGAAUUGCAUUGGAGACUGCAAGGCUAGAAUCUGGCAGAGGGGGGUAGAAUUCCACGUGUAGCAGUGAAAUGCGUAGAGAUGUGGAGGAACACCAAUGGCGAAGGCAGCCCCCUGGGUCGAUACUGACGCUCAUGCACGAAAGCGUGGGUAGCAAACA